AUGGGCUGGGAAGUGUAGCCGUCUACAAAGACCAGAGCACUUGGAUGGAGGAGGGGUGCGAGUUGGAGCUUUAUGCUGGACAGGUUGUCUAAAUAUACCCAUUCAACAGAUUACAGGAAGAGCUGUGAAUGUUCAUGAAGGUAGUUCUGAGACCUGCAUAUUGAACAAGCGGUGCCCAGAGUAGUGGGUAGCUCACCCCCCAGUGGGUCUACCCCAGCAACAACCCCAGUGGCCACCCAUCGUUGCUAGUCUGGAGCUUGCGGUGACCCUCAUCCUGCCUCUGAGAAGACUUUGCACAAGCUGCUGAGGACACUAAGGCUGGAGACAUGGGACAUGGAUGCCCUGUGAUCAAUUAAGUUGGUUAACGUCACCAGCGUAGAUGAUGUCAACGCUUCACCCUCUGGAGGCCCCAGAAAGCAGCUUUCCUUCACACGCCGCCGGACUGUCCACUGAUGGAGGCGGAUGGAUGCUCUUGGCCGCAUUUCUCGGCACUCAGGUUGUGACUGUCCCAGGCUUCCUGUUAAAUGCAUUCCUGGUCCGAAUAGCUUCACCCACGUGCUCAGGGCAGCGGGUGGAGUGCCAUCUCCACAUUUUUCUGUAGGAAACCCUCCAAGGAGGUGCUGCCUCCUCCUUCGGGCAGUGAAAACUCCUCAGCAAACUGGGACAUAGGUGCCAGAUGUUCAUCAGGACUACCCUGGAAAGAAGUCCAGGCCAUCCAGAUCAGGGAGGCUGGGUCUGAAGCUGGGUCUGCCAAGGCCUGGUUUCUGUCCAAGCCUCACUAGGGGAGGGACUUAUGGUGCAAACUCCCCAUUCCCUCUGGUGUGUGCGUUGCAGCCGUGAUGCUGUUUGCCUCAACUUAUGGGUCUUCUCUGGGCCCAGAUUGAACCUUCCUAUCUGUUUCCACUAGCUUUGUAUGCCAUAUGGCAUUUUACAGCCCCAUACUAUGUAGGUAACAGAAACAACAGCACUUGCAAACUACAUAUAUUUCAAAAAACAACUAGGUCUUUUGAUUAAAUUAUAAGCUUUAAUUAUAUUCUAACUAAUUAGAACAUGUUUAACAUAGACCUCUCCCAUACCUGAAAAACUGAAUGAAAAGAAACUUACAAAUGAACCCUCUGUAGGAUUACCAUUAGGUUAAAAAGAUAACUAAAAAAUAUACUAUUUUAGGCCAAGUGUGAUGGCUCACACCUGUAAUCCCAGUGCUUUGGAAGGCUGAGGCAGGAAGACUGCUUGAGGCCAGGAAUUUGAGACCGGCCUGGACAAGACAGUGAGACUC
This 1276-nucleotide long non-coding RNA is filed under the name Homo sapiens (human). Its description in RNAcentral is "HSALNT0247886". The record is from RNAcentral. Lineage: Eukaryota; Metazoa; Chordata; Mammalia; Primates; Hominidae.